RNAcentral lists this ribosomal RNA (484 nucleotides) under uncultured bacterium. Its description in RNAcentral is "partial 16S ribosomal RNA". It matches the Rfam family "Bacterial small subunit ribosomal RNA", at positions 29 to 507 of the family's 1533-position model. The record is from RNAcentral.
AUUGAACGCUGGCGGCCGGCCUAACACAUGCAAGUCGCGCGGAUGAAGGGAGCUUGCUCCUGGCUUCAGCGGCGGACGGGUGAGUAAUGCCUAGGAAUCUGCCUGGUAGUGGGGGCUAACGUCCGGACACGGGCGCUAAUACCGCAUACGUCCUGAGGGAGAAAGUGGGGGCUCUUCGGACCCCACGCUAUCAGAUGAGCCUAGGUCGGAUUAGCUAGUUGGUGGGGUAAAGGCCUACCAAGGCGACGAUCCGUAACUGGUCUGAGAGGAUGAUCAGUCACAGUGGAAGUGAGACACGGUCCAGACUCCUAAGGGAGGCAGCGAUAGGGAAUAUGGAACAAUGGGCGAGAGCGUGAGCCAGCCAUGCGGCGUGGGUGAAGAAGGGCUGCGGAUUGUAAAGCACUGUAGGUGGGGAGGAAGGGCAGUAAGUUAAUACCUUGCUGUUUUGACGUUACCAACAGAGUAAGCACCGGCUAACGUCGUG